Long non-coding RNA from Callithrix jacchus (white-tufted-ear marmoset), 2044 nucleotides. RefSeq lists it as uncharacterized. NCBI's taxonomy places the organism in Eukaryota, Metazoa, Chordata, Mammalia, Primates, Cebidae. The record is from RefSeq and is a predicted model, not a curated record.
GGUCGAAGUCAAUUAGCACAGCCAUAGAUAGCGAUUGGCUGGAUGUGAGCAUGUGAUUGAAGCCGGUCCAAUCAGGGCAAAUCUCAGACUAUUCACGGGAAGCUUGGACACAAGCUCCAGUUUUUUUGUUGUUGUUGUUCAAUUUAAACCCGGAAGGAUGUAGUGCGGGGAAUCGCUGCAGCCAUCUUGAAAAUAUGUGGGAAGAGCCUCAAGAACGGAGUCAGCACAAGUACGUGAGGCUGGAGAUGGGGGACGACGUGCUGCUGGUGCGAGACCCUCAUACUGUUCAGUUACAUGAACGCUGAACUCCUCUUCCCUUUGGUUAAAGUUUCAGGUGUUCACUGGGGACUUGGAACGCAUCCCCACAUGUAAGAGGGACUCCUGUACUCAACUGCUAGUUGCACCUUUGAAGAGUGGAGUGUGUCCUUUCUCGUUACUCCUUCUGUGGAUGGAGUGCAGAUGUGUGGGGCGCUAUCUUGGACACUUGGGUUUGUGGGGUCACUGUUCACACUGACCUCUCUUAGAUACUCAGGGUUCACCACCUGGAAUAUUGUGGGUCACCACAGCAGGAAGAGGAGAAGAGGAAGAAUCGCUUAGCAGCUCUCGAAUGCUUCUGCCUAACGAUGAGGAAGCCGAGACCCAGAGUAACAAGUAGCAAAUGGCAGAAGCAGGAUAUGAAAUCUGGAUAACAGGUUUGGUGUGGUGCCUGAAAAUUGGAUGCUGAUACUGCUGGAUCAGGGAGCACACUUUGAGAACCACUAUGUUAAGCGUCGUGCCCAAGGCCACAAACCCAGCAGUCUGACUCCACAGCACCAACCCUCAACUACUAGCAAAUAAAUAGUCUUCUAAAAGUUCGGUUUUAUAGCUUCAAAUACUGUAAAACUCAUCAUUAUCCAGGGAAGGGAAUUUGGUAGUGAGAAUGUUGGGAUCUCAGUACUACAUGUAGGAGGAGUAAUAAGUGUCUCAUCAUGCACAGAGCUUUCUUGUCCUGCCAGUGGUCCAAUUCAGGUUCUCUGAGGCCUGCGACACAGGUUAGCUGGACAUCUGUGCUUGACUUAUGGCUGGUAGACAUAGGUUAUGCUCAUGGAGAGGUGUGAAAGUGGUUGGUGAUGCUGGGGAGGCCUUUUCUCCUUCAGAAAUCAAGUGAGAAAAGUUACCCCAUGCAUUUGCCUGUGUCUGAAGGCCCUGCAGGUGCCUGAAUCUUUGUGGCUGUGCUACUCAGCCCUUUCCCCAGGGCCAUGCAGCAGAAGGAAAGGCCAUUUGUCUGGAGAAGGCACAGGAGAGAGUUCAUAGGAUGCUUCCCCAGCUCCUGUCAGUCAGGGUUUCCCUUUAAGCCCCUCGCACUCCCAGAUUUCAGGAAACUGUCUAUGAAUGGAGAGAUAAGGCACAGCCUCCAAAAACAGAAAGCACAGACCAAGAAUAUUUAAAUUUCAAUUAAACCUAAUUAAAUUUAUGUUUUUGAAAAGAAAUAAGAAACCAACUUCCAGAAGAACAGAAGCAUUUCAGAAAACAGGGGUUGAGCCAAAAGCUGUGGUCACAGAUAGAAGAGAGUGAAAAAUCAAGGGCAUAUGGAUAUCCACUUGUUCCAGAACUAUAUUUAUGGAAAAGACCAUGUUUUCUCUACUAAAUUGCAUUUAUAUUUUUGCCAAAAAUCAGUUGUCCAGACCUAGAGUAGCCAAAACAAUCUUGAAAAAUAACAAAGUUGGAGGACUCACACUUCACAGUUUCAAAAUUUACUACAAAUCUGCAGCAAUCAAGACUGUGUUGUGUGGUACUGGUAAAGACAGACUUAUAUCAACAGCAUCGAAUUUGAGAAUCCAGAAGUACAAUCUCACAUUUAAGAUCAGUUGAUUUUCUGUAAUGAUGCCAAGAUCAUUCAAUGGAGGGAAAAAACAGGAUCUUCAACAAAUGGUAUUUGGGGCAACUGGAUAUCUACAUGCAAAAGAAUGAAGUUGGACCCCUGACAUAUCGUGUAAAAACAUUAACUCAAAAUGAGCCAAAGACCCGAAUGUAAGCGCUAAAACUAUAAAACUUUGAGAAGAAA